GGCAGCAGUGAGGAAUAUUCUGCAAUGGGCGAAAGCCUGACAGAGCAAUACCGCGUGAGGGAUGACGGCCUAUGGGUUGUAAACCUCUUUUCUCAAGGAGGAAGAUCUGACGUUACUUGAGGAAUAAGCAUCGGCUAACCCUGUGCCAGCAGCCGCGGUAAUACAGGGGAUGCAAGUGUUAUCCGGAAUUAUUGGGCGUAAAGCGUCUGCAGGUUGAUCUAUAAGUCUUUUGUUAAAUUUUCAGGCUUAACCUAAAAACAGCAAAAGAAACUAUUUAUCUUGAGUAUGGUAGAGGUAAGGGGAAUUUCGAGUGGAGCGGUGAAAUGCGUAGAUAUUCGAAAGAACACCAAUAGCGAAGGCACCUUACUGGGCCAUUACUGACACUCAGAGACGAAAGCUAGGGUAGCAAACGGGAUUAGAUACCCCGGUAGUCCUAGCUGUAAACGAUGGAUACUAGGUGUUGCGUACUUUAUAGUAUGCAGUGUCGUAGCUAACGCGUUAAGUAUCCCGCCUGGGGAGUAUGGUCGCAAGGCUGAAACUCAAAGGAAUUGACGGGGGCUCACACAAGCGGUGGAGGAUGUGGCUUAAUUCGAGGCUACGCGAAGAACCUUACCUAGACUUAACAUGCUUAGGAACUCCUGUGAAAGCAGGAGGUGCCCUUCGGGGAGCCUUUGCAUAGGUGCU
RNAcentral lists this ribosomal RNA (684 nucleotides) under Pirellulaceae bacterium. RNAcentral describes it as "bacterial SSU rRNA". It matches the Rfam family "Bacterial small subunit ribosomal RNA", at positions 347 to 1042 of the family's 1533-position model. Lineage: Bacteria; Pseudomonadati; Planctomycetota; Planctomycetia; Pirellulales; Pirellulaceae. The record is from RNAcentral.